CGUCAGCUCGUGUCGUGAGAUGUUCGGUUAAGUCCGGCAACGAGCGCAACCCACGUCCUUAGUUGCCAAUUAUGGAACUCUAGGGAAACUGCCCGUGAUAAGCGGGAGGAAGGUGUGGAUGACGUCAAGUCCUCAUGGCCCUUACGGGUUGGGCUACACACGUGCUACAAUGGCAGUGACAAUGGGUUAAUCCCCAAAAACUGUCUCAGUUCGGAUUGUUCUCUGCAACUCGAGAGCAUGAAGUCGGAAUCGCUAGUAAUCGCGUAACAGCAUGACGCGGUGAAUACGUUCCCGGGCCUU
RNAcentral lists this ribosomal RNA (300 nucleotides) under uncultured bacterium. RNAcentral describes it as "bacterial SSU rRNA". It matches the Rfam family "Bacterial small subunit ribosomal RNA", at positions 1053 to 1382 of the family's 1533-position model. The record is from RNAcentral.